UCCCCGGCAGUCCAAUGGUUAGGCCUCUGCACUUUCACUGCAGAGGGCACAGGUUCAAUCCCUGGUCAGGGAA
This 73-nucleotide transfer RNA is filed under the name Bos taurus (domestic cattle). It matches the Rfam family "tRNA". From Rfam's summary of the family: Transfer RNA (tRNA) molecules are approximately 80 nucleotides in length. RNAcentral also lists the same sequence under 4 other names. Lineage: Eukaryota; Metazoa; Chordata; Mammalia; Artiodactyla; Bovidae. The record is from Rfam by way of RNAcentral.